Sebastes umbrosus (honeycomb rockfish) is the source of this 591-nucleotide long non-coding RNA. RefSeq lists it as uncharacterized. The record is from RefSeq and is a predicted model, not a curated record. The transcript has 3 exons. Lineage: Eukaryota; Metazoa; Chordata; Actinopteri; Perciformes; Sebastidae.
GUGUGUGUGUGUGUGUGUGUGUGUGUGUGUGCGCGCGCAUACCUCAGUUCGUAGGCUGCAGCACUGUACGGCUUCCUCCCCCCCCUUCCUCCCCGGGGCUGCACUGAGAGGCUGGUGCCAGAGAGUCUCACCUAGUCAGACAAAAUGUGAAUCCAUCACGACGUCCACUGUGACUCCAGCUUCAUGAUGAUGAUGAUGAUGAUGAUGAUGAUGAUGAUGUUCCCCGCGGGGGCCUCAGGAGCCACACAUGAUAACCUUUAAACAGGCCGAAAUGAUCCAGCAGGUUGAAAAUGAGAAGCAGAUUGAUAGUUCCAGCAGGCAUUAACCCCACCUCUGGUUUGAUCUCCUCGGGUCAGGCCCGGCUACCGAAACAGUCGCGCUUCUGACUGGUUUGAUCCAAGCCUGUUGACAAGGUCAGCUGUAACCGGCUGAGAGGUUGUCAUGACUGACUGCAAAGCGCUCCUGGCUCAUCGGUGCAAUCAUUUGUCAGCAUGUUGUGUUGCUCAGGCGCGAGGCUUGGUUGAAAACAGGCCAAAAAAAUCAUUGAAAAUGACAUUUGAUAGUCUUCUGUUGGCAAACAGCAUUUUUAUA